UCCGGCUUAUCACCGGCGGUUCCUUUAGAGUACCCAACUAAAUGAUGGUAACUAAAGGCGAGGGUUGCGCUCGUUGCGGGACUUAACCCAACAUCUCACGGCACGAGCUGACGACAGCCAUGCAGCACCUGUGUCCCAGUCCCCGAAGGGAAGGAAUCCAUCUCUGGAAACCGUCCGGGCAUGUCAAACGCAGGUAAGGUUCUGCGCGUUGCUUCGAAUUAAACCACAUGCUCCACCGCUUGUGCAGGCCCCCGUCAAUUCAUUUGAGUUUUAACCUUGCGGCCGUACUCCCCAGGCGGAUAACUUAAUGCGUUAGCUGCGCCACCUAAACACCAAGUGUCCAGACAGCUAGUUAUCAUCGUUUACGGCAUGGACUAC
This 378-nucleotide unclassified non-coding RNA is filed under the name uncultured Sphingomonadaceae bacterium. RNAcentral describes it as "contains 16S-23S intergenic spacer region". Lineage: Bacteria; Pseudomonadati; Pseudomonadota; Alphaproteobacteria; Sphingomonadales; Sphingomonadaceae. The record is from RNAcentral.